This 1018-nucleotide ribosomal RNA is filed under the name Bacillus velezensis. RNAcentral describes it as "partial 23S ribosomal RNA". It matches the Rfam family "Bacterial large subunit ribosomal RNA", at positions 1 to 1012 of the family's 2925-position model. The record is from RNAcentral. Lineage: Bacteria; Bacillati; Bacillota; Bacilli; Caryophanales; Bacillaceae.
GGUUAAGUUAGAAAGGGCGCACGGUGGAUGCCUUGGCACUAGGAGCCGAUGAAGGACGGGACGAACACCGAUAUGCUUCGGGGAGCUGUAAGCAAGCUUUGAUCCGGAGAUUUCCGAAUGGGGAAACCCACCACUCGUAAUGGAGUGGUAUCCAUAUCUGAAUACAUAGGAUAUGAGAAGGCAGACCCGGGGAACUGAAACAUCUAAGUACCCGGAGGAAGAGAAAGCAAAUGCGAUUCCCUGAGUAGCGGCGAGCGAAACGGGAUCAGCCCAAACCAAGAGGCUUGCCUCUUGGGGUUGUAGGACACUCUGUACGGAGUUACAAAGGAACGAGGUAGAUGAAGAGGUCUGGAAAGGCCCGCCAUAGGAGGUAACAGCCCUGUAGUCAAAACUUCGUUCUCUCCUGAGUGGAUCCUGAGUACGGCGGAACACGUGAAAUUCCGUCGGAAUCCGGGAGGACCAUCUCCCAAGGCUAAAUACUCCCUAGUGACCGAUAGUGAACCAGUACCGUGAGGGAAAGGUGAAAAGCACCCCGGAAGGGGAGUGAAAGAGAUCCUGAAACCGUGUGCCUACAAGUAGUCAGAGCCCGUUAACGGGUGAUGGCGUGCCUUUUGUAGAAUGAACCGGCGAGUUACGAUCCCGUGCAAGGUUAAGCAGAAGAUGCGGAGCCGCAGCGAAAGCGAGUCUGAAUAGGGCGAAUUGAGUACGUGGUCGUAGACCCGAAACCAGGUGAUCUACCCAUGUCCAGGGUGAAGUUCAGGUAACACUGAAUGGAGGCCCGAACCCACGCACGUUGAAAAGUGCGGGGAUGAGGUGUGGGUAGGGGUGAAAUGCCAAUCGAACCUGGAGAUAGCUGGUUCUCUCCGAAAUAGCUUUAGGGCUAGCCUCAAGGUAAGAGUCUCGGAGGUAGAGCACUGAUUGGACUAGGGGCCCCUACCGGGUUACCGAAUUCAGUCAAACUCCGAAUGCCGAUGACUUAUCCUUGGGAGUCAGACUGCGAGUGAUAAGAUCCGUAGUC